RNAcentral lists this ribosomal RNA (484 nucleotides) under uncultured bacterium. Its description in RNAcentral is "partial 16S ribosomal RNA". It matches the Rfam family "Bacterial small subunit ribosomal RNA", at positions 28 to 507 of the family's 1533-position model. The record is from RNAcentral.
AUUGAACGCUGGCGGCAUGCUUUACACAUGCAAGUCGAACGGCAGCGCGGGCUUCGGCCUGGCGGCGAGUGGCGAACGGGUGAGUAAUGCACCCGAACGUGCCCAGUAGAUGGGGAUAGCACGGCGAAAGCCGGCUGAAUAUCGCAUACGACCUGAGGUUGAACGCGGGGGACCGAAAGGGCUCGCGCGAUUUGCUGGGCCGAUGACGGAUUAGCUAGUUGGUGGGGUAAAGGCUUACCAAGGCGACGAUCCGUAGCUGGUCUGAGAGGACGACCAGCCACACUGGGACUGAGACACGGCCCAGACUCCUACGGGAGGCAGCAGUGGGGAAUUUUGGACAAUGGGGGCAACCCUGAUCCAGCCAUGCCGCGUGCGGGAAGAAGGCCUUCGGGUUGUAAACCGCUUUUGUUCGGGAAGAAAUCCUCUGGGCUAAUACCCCGGGGGGAUGACGGUACCGGAAGAAUAAGCACCGGCUAACUACGUG